Molecule: long non-coding RNA, 1560 nt
Filed under: Sorghum bicolor (sorghum)
Lineage: Eukaryota; Viridiplantae; Streptophyta; Magnoliopsida; Poales; Poaceae
Description: long non-coding RNA (SBIC_LNC011342)
Source: RNAcentral
UGGCCCUGCCUCUAAAGUACGUAUUCACAUGGCACUAGCUGCUCUGCAUGACUGUAUCGAUCUAUCGGGCUCUUGGUAAUGCUUGCAACCAUUUUUCCAUACGAGUGUUCUUCUCGGUUUAGUUUGCUUCGGAGUUAUCAAAGGUCAAUAGGUCAUGUCAUGUGGUUUUGAGUCGUUUGACCUGUAUUGUAUGCAAAACCAUUUGCUAGAAACAUCGCACCUUUAAUUCUGAUAGGUGAUAGCUCUAGGGAAAGAGAAGGAAAACAUGAAGUGAGGACUUGCAAUCACUAUACUAGAUCCUCACAAUGUGUGCCGGUAACAGGCUAAUUUGUGCCCCGUGGACAACUAGAGUGUUUGUGUUUUCUCAACCGUUGGACAGAGGUCCAUCCAAGGAUGUUGCAUAUGCAACUCGAAGUUAUCUUAUAGCAUACUCAUUGUGGAAUUCAGACCAUUUUUUUCUGAUGGGUUUUGUAACAAAUUUUCUCCUCAAGUAAACAUUAUGUUCUUUUUGAGAGCUGCACAAUUCUUUCUUUUCGUACUAGAAACAUUUUGUUCUUUCCUUUUGUACACAAGCAAAACAUUGCUUUCCAAAACGACUAGCAAUACCUAGUUUGUAUUCCCUUCGUCGACAAAUGAACGGACUUCUUGAAUCUAUAGGACAAAGUCGAAUAGGAAAAUACUCUAGGCUAUUGUCCCUCAUUACAGCUAAAGGACUAGCUUCUGAUUGUUGCAAUUCAAGAGCGAAUACCCCCUGAUUGGCACAAUUAAAGGGUGUUCUGCUCCUGAAUUAUGCAAUUAAGAGUUAGAUCUGAUGAGUACUCAUAACUCCUUAUUUUUGUGGACAUAUUUCAAAUGGUAGAAGUCCUUAUAUUUGUUGACGAGGUAUGUACUUUGUGCAGAGAUGGUGUGUGCUCCUCAAAGAUGCUGAUGAGAUUGGAGGGUUUGAGGAACAAAUGGAUCCGAGUCAAAACAUGGAUGGAAAACUUCAAAGGGCCCCCGACAAGGGUAACAAGGAAGAUCUGAUGUACUCCCUCCGACCUCCAUAUCUAGACAUACAUCUAGCAAAAUGGAUACAACAAAAAAGCAAAAGUGACUUAUAAUUUGGAACUGAGGGAGUAGUGGUUUUUGUUGGUAAUGUGUUAUGUCUAUAGCCACUGGUUUAGUUUUUUCUACUCCCUCCAAUCUUCGUUCCAAAAGCAAUUUGCAGACUAAUUUGUCAUCUCAAUAAAAAGUUUAACAAUUAUAGUAUUUAAUAAGUAUAAUUAGAUCAUUAUGGCGUAUAUUUUUAUUGUAUGCCUAUCUGAUAUCAUAAAUAUUGGUAAUUGUUUUCAACAAAUAUGGUCAAACUUAACAUAUUUGGAUUUAGAACAAAUCUAGAAUUGUAUUGUUUUUUUAGGAUGUUGGGAGCAGUCAUUAGGUGUGUCAGUGUGUGGGUCUUUGCUUGUUGAGCUGGUCUUUGUAGGUUUGGUUGUGUACCGAAGUCUUUUAAAAGAUAGGUUUCCCUUGCCAACAAAACAUUUUUAUUGUACUAUCUAGUGGAACUUUUUCCCUUCUCAGAGG